Molecule: ribosomal RNA, 252 nt
Filed under: uncultured bacterium
Lineage: Bacteria
Description: partial 16S ribosomal RNA
Rfam family: Bacterial small subunit ribosomal RNA
Source: RNAcentral
UACGGAGGAUGCGAGCGUUAUCCGGAUUUAUUGGGUUUAAAGGGUGCGUAGGCGGUCCGGAAAGUCAGCGGUAAAAGCCCGGGGCUCAACCCCGGCGAGCCGUUGAAACUGUCGGACUAGAGACGGCGAGAAGUACGCGGAAUGCGCGGUGUAGCGGUGAAAUGCAUAGAUAUCGCGCAGAACUCUGAUUGCGAAGGCAGCAUACCGGCGCCCAACUGACGCUGAAGCACGAAAGCGUGGGUAUCGAACAGG